GGGUGAGUAACACGUGGAUAACCUACCUAUAAGACUGGGAUAACUUCGGGAAACCGGAGCUAAUACCGGAUAAUAUUUUGAACCGCAUGGUUCGAAAGUGAAAGACGGUCUUGCUGUCACUUAUAGAUGGAUCCGCGCUGCAUUAGCUAGUUGGUAAGGUAACGGCUUACCAAGGCAACGAUGCAUAGCCGACCUGAGAGGGUGAUCGGCCACACUGGAACUGAGACACGGUCCAG
RNAcentral lists this ribosomal RNA (236 nucleotides) under uncultured Staphylococcus sp. Its description in RNAcentral is "partial 16S ribosomal RNA". It matches the Rfam family "Bacterial small subunit ribosomal RNA", at positions 104 to 334 of the family's 1533-position model. The record is from RNAcentral. Lineage: Bacteria; Bacillati; Bacillota; Bacilli; Caryophanales; Staphylococcaceae.